AGCAGUAGCCGCGGGAAUACGUAGGGUGCGAGCGUUAAUCGGAAUUACUGGGCGUAAAGCGUGCGCAGGCGGUUAUGUAAGACAGUUGUGAAAUCCCCGGGCUCAACCUGGGAACUGCAUCUGUGACUGCAUAGCUAGAGUACGGUAGAGGGGGAUGGAAUUCCGCGUGUAGCAGUGAAAUGCGUAGAUAUGCGGAGGAACACCGAUGGCGAAGGCAAUCCCCUGGACCUGUACUGACGCUCAUGCACGAAAGCGUGGGGAGCAAACAGGAUUAGAUACCCCUGUAGUCCCUGUCUCUUAUAC
This 303-nucleotide ribosomal RNA is filed under the name uncultured bacterium. RNAcentral describes it as "partial 16S ribosomal RNA". It matches the Rfam family "Bacterial small subunit ribosomal RNA", at positions 507 to 807 of the family's 1533-position model. The record is from RNAcentral.